UCGCUCGCUUGCUAGAUUUCCAUUUUCUAACACGUUGCUGCUCAGAUGGAGAAUCAACUGGGGCGUCUCGAUCCUUGCUUGUACACUGGUAUGCACGAAACUCUUUGCUUUUGGCUCGAUGUUCUCACUGUCUGGAGUUGCAGGUCCGUGCUGUUGGAGCGAUUGGCUUUGUCUUUCUGUGCUCUUGGCUGGUCAAGGAAAACACCCUCAACUUGGUACAAAGAAAUUCAUUUGGCUGACCUUGACCAAAUGUUCCUCUUCUCUUGCAGAUCACCAUAAACACCCAUGCUUCGCUCUCGUACAUGGUGGCCGCAAUGGGGAUCAAUAUCUCGCUUACCUCGCUUACAAUGCCGACCAUCUAUGCUGUGUUCACGUCCUUGGUAAAGUUUCUCCCAGUUUUAGAUCGAAAGCUGACCUCUAGCUUAUCGUGAACUGCGCAUCGCUUUGUUUUCCUCCUCCAUGUUUUGUACGCGAUUAUUCUUCAGGGCCUGGGAAUCAAGUCGUCACUGGCGGUUCCUGGCUGGAUGUCGAGAUCCAUGUAAAAUCAAAGGAUGCUUACCCGGAAUUCAUCCUUUUGUACAGACACCAUUUCUGGCGUUGAUAUAAAAAUCGGGGAUGGUGAAAAUUCCAGCUUUAAGUUAGAGCACGUUCUCUCUGUUUAUCAAGAAAGAUGCCCAAGCCUCGCUCGAAGGAGUUACAGGCUGAACCCAGUGACCAGGAGUUCGGCUGGGGCGGACAAUGGCGCUACCAGUGCCCUGUCCGCAGCCUCCAUUGGAUCCGGUGGGAGAGACCCGCUAGAACCCUAAAACAUUGGUUCCUCGCAUUGCCUCGCGGUGCUUUCCUCGCCACGUCUUGGAUAAGGUAGAUAUUUUUAUGAAGAAUGUUAAAUGGAUCUACUUUUAUAAUUAUUCUAGCAUAUUCUGUAAGAGUUGAGUAGUUUUCCUUCUGAAGUAUGUUUAAGUUCGUAAGAUAUGAAGUUUAUGUUCGUUAACAAAUAGGGUUUAUAUUAUGGAAUCUCGUGGAUAAAAGCUGUUUUGAUUCCAACAACUGAAAGAAACACACAACAUCGCUAGACCUCGAUGUCGUAUACGUGGCGAGCCAGGAGCUUGGCCAUGGAAGAUGUUUCACACUCCUUGUUGUGCUCGAGGAACCGUUCCUUGAACUCCUCGUCGUCAGUGGGCACUGCAGCCAGCCCUGCUGCAAUCUCUUCCAGUGACAUCCCGCGCUUGUCCAGGAAGCCCCGCCGCAAUCUCGACAUCCUCGCCAUGUAGCAGCCGCGGCUCUCUGGCUCAAAAUUCAUUGGCGUCACGUAACGUACUGUGUACCUCGCCGGAUCGGCGAGCUUGCCCAAGUAUUUGCUCACUUCACCCUGCAUCUCGAGGACGUAGAAGGUGGAGGGAGGCUGGCCCUGCAGCUGCCGCUCGGCUCGAGCGGACCCCUCACGAAUCGCCUUGUCUAUAAACCCAUGCAUGAGCAACAAAGAACAUCGAGCGUGCUGAAGGCUCACUCACAUGAUCCGCUAUCCGGAAGGGGUUCGACAGGAAGCUCUGAAUAGCUGAGCCACAGGCGCGCGUCUAACACGGCAAUAUAGACGUUCUCCAAGUGUGUAAGGUAAGGGCACACAGUAAUAAGAGGAGCAAGCCUUCCGCCGCGGUCACUCAGAUCUAGCAGGAGCUGCUCCAGCUCCCCUGUUACAGUCCCUGUUGUUUCAUUGCUUUUUGUCUGUAUUUUGAUCUGGAAACUUACAUCGCUCGAGCGACAUCCGCGAUGUGUUGCCGCGGGGGAUUUCAUCAAGCAAGAAAUCCAGCUUUGAUCACCACCACCUCUCCGUAGCCUUUGGGUGUUGAUCUUUGUACCGUGCAUAUGGGUUCCUUUCCUCCAGGCCCUACAGCGGCAAAUUAAACUCUACAGCGAGAGAAAGACACAGUGUAGGAGUACCUUGGGGUACUCCUCCAGGUUGAAACUGGGUACGUAUUUCUCCAUGUACCACGCCUGGACUGUCUCGAACAGAGCUCCACCCUCCACCUCUCUCGGCUGAACACCUUUUAGGGUUGGCCAUAUAGGACGCCUCUUCAAGCGUAGGGCUGCGCCGCCGGGCUUGAGAGAAGCCGUGGAUGCGACGCUCGAGUUGCGGAGGGUCUCCUCCUUCAGGUACAGUUGCCUCCAGUCUAAUGUUUUAACGGUCCCCAGACAGAAAAAUAUCCAUCCGUACAUAAAACUGGAAUUGUUCCUUGCGUCGAAUUCGUUUCUCACUUGGAAUUCUCCUCCGAGGAAAUCUGAGAAGCCCACGGGUCUCCAAAGCGCCAUUGACGGCCUUCCGGUUGGCCUGAGAAGGAAGAAGCUAGCGUUUGAUCAGUUUUAAAGUUCUCUAGAGAUGUUACCAGGAUCUUCUCUCGAUCUUCGAGAGCGUCAUUUCUACUGACUCGAUGCGUCCAGUGCCGCCGCAGCACCCGCAAGAAUCAGUGACACUCAGCCGGUCCUGAAAGCUCCAUAUCAAGUCAACUAGAGAUACCCGUGCUCUCGUCAUUUCCAUGAGUCCGAACUCUGAAAUUUCCAAGAUAACAACUUUAGAUCGGUCCCGCUCAAUGGCCUUGCACUUUCAUGACCUGCAGAUAUACCACAAUAUCUCAGCUCGCUGACAAAGUUUGGAUUCUAGAAGCUUACUUGGAUCCUCCGUGUCAAACAACUAUAAUCCCACCAAUGCCCCGUAGCCUCUGUCGCAAUCUGCACAGAGAGUUUUUACCUGUCGAGGAGCAGCGAGAUUUACUUCUAAGAACACACAGAAAUAUAAGUUCCUUGAUUACGUCCAAAAGUCUUCACCUUUUGGUAUGUUUGAGACGAAUCCACGACAAACGUUUCAACCUGUAUAUACUCGUUCAAAGAACGAAGACAGCAUACUAUGAAAAACCUUAUUGUUGAAGAGAUCACCUGAGUGCCUGUCCCAUGGCCCUUUGCAAUAACACAGGGACCGGGUCUUUUCAACCACCACCCCCAGCAACCUCCGCUGUCUCCACACGUCUCCAUGAGGCGUGCCAAUUCCUUCUUGAGCUCUUCACGACUGCGGCCAACAGCCUCAGUCCUCACGGUAAGACCAAAUGCAGCUCUUUGGCAAGCUGCUUGAGCCGACUUCUUUCCAGCCUGUUGAUCUUGCGAGUAACUCCAAUGGUCGAAGCUUGAGGAAGCAAUACCUGCACUACAUUUCUUAACUUCAAUACUUCGAGACACUUACCCAGUAUCGUCCCGCCAAAGUCACAGUUGCUUGGAAAGAAUCUAAAAUUUCGGGCACUUGGUCAUGGCGUCAGUCCAGAAACUUGCCUGAUCAUCUUCCAAAAACCUUUUGAUCCGUGAAACUCUUGCAAAGCCGCCAGAAACGCGUCUUCUUCUCCUCUCGAGGAGAGUUCUAACUUCCGAGGGUGAAGUGUCGUGUGUCGGCACCCGGACAACGUAAGAGUUCGCACAUAGAAACUCUAGAACGAAUGAAUCAAGCUAGUGAAAAUCCCUAAAAAUCAUGGACGAACCUGUAAGCCAUUUGGAGCUUCAACGAUCCAUUAUCUGUUCCCACGAACCGGCACAGGACCUGUGAGAGUUCUCCAAACUCGCUGUAAACCUGCGCCAGUCCAUGGAAAAACGAUCCUAGAUGGAUUAGAAUGACGAGGAAACUCAGAGCAAAGUUGUUCUCUAUCGGGACAACAGUGGAGAUCACUAUAUCUUCAACUAACUAUUCUCAUUUAUCUGUUUUUUCCUGUGACUAUGAGCAAUCCUUUUUUUUUUUCUUUUUUUUCUGUUUUCCUUAUGUUGCUUGAUCAAUCUUUUAUUUGCUUUUGCAGGUGGUAGACGUGAACAUUGGAUUCGAGGACAUUUUCAACACGGGUAAAAGUUUGCUCUCCCGCUGAAAACUUAUGCGGGCUUUGGCACACCAAGUACUGGCAUUCAAUGGCACAAAUGUCGAGAACUUGAAGCAUUUGGCAAAUAUGGUGGAGAGCUGCAAAGAGGAGUUUGUAAAAUUUGAUGUCAACCACCAUAUGGAUUCCCGGUUCUGAUUUAUAUUUUAUACGUUAAGUAAUACGUUAUUUAGCACGUUAAGUAAUACAACAAAAUAAAAUAUUAAAUUAGUAAGGAUUUAAAAAUUGCAAGCAACACAACUAAUGAGAUACACUUGUCCAGACACUAAGAAUUCUUUUGGAUUUUGCUGAUGGAAACUCGUUUUAAUUUGUGAGUUAGGUAAAUGAAUCUCCUUAAAGGUAAAUGAAGCAACAAGGAAUUAUAAUUAUAUUUUUUUGGGGUAUAUGUUUUCUUUCCCCAUGUCACUCCAUCAUAUAUCAGUAUUUCCACUUUCGUGUGGGUUUGGCUGUGCUUGGGGUGAAUCAAGCACGACAAAUUGGACACCGCCUAUCAGAAAUUAUGAUAAUUUCAAUGCCUCCAUAUAGGAGCACAACAAUGGAAGGAUCUACCUUUUCUGCAGAAGACCUUGUUGAUGGGGUACUGUUUGAUCUUGCAUUCUACUUUUUUAGUGCACGUGACAUCACUCUACAAUGCUAUAUAGCAUUGGCACCUCCAACUACAGAGGUUUCUAACCACAUAAUCCACUUAACACUUGGAGAUACCAUGGACCGAAUUGCUGAUGAAAUUCUUUUGUUUCGUCCUGCCCUUGGCUUUGUGGUAAUUGUUACUGAUAUUGGGGUGUUUGGAGUCUCCUACAUGAUCCACAAUUAUGGAAGACCAAAGGCUGGCACUAAUGAAAUUCCAAGCAAGAUUAAUCUUGAAUCUUGCAACCCUUUCUCAGCCAUGCUUAUUAGUGGUACGAGGAUUAACCCCUUUUCAAGGCUUGGUCCUGGGGAUCAAAUUCAUUUAGGAGGGGAUUCACAAAUUGGAGUAAUUGUAUUGUUCAUGGAUUACAGUUGCAACUUCAUCAUCUACAUAUAUACUACUAGCAAGUCACUUUGGACCUCUGAAACUCAUGGAUUGGGGUUCGAUUGCUGGGUGCUCAUGCAAGAAGAUGGAAACCUGGUAGUUUAUGGAUCACUUGGAACAUCAUUUUGGUCAAGCUUUUCUUUUUGUGUGCCUUCUCCUGCAUGCAUUGCUCCAUCAUUUGUUGCUCUUGGACCCAAAUGCAGGGUUGGUGUGUAUAGAUAUGGUGCUCCGGCAGUUGAAGUCUGGUCACCAGGUGAUUUUUGCUAAAUUCACAUGAAAAGUGCUUUGAAUAAAUUCUAAAGAAUAAAAUGUGAACUGAACCAUUGGAAGUGCUUGAUGUCUUGCAAUUUUGCUAGUUUGGUAGAAUUUUCCUCUUCCAUGCGUGCGUUGUGGAUCGUCAUUCUCGCGAGCGUCACCACUGGGCUUCGACGCAUUCCUUGGCCGAUGAAUACUGUGCGAAGGGACACUACUUCUUUCACAGGGAGGAAGACUCGGCUUGCAAGGGAAAGAGGCUACUGGAGCCUUUUCGGUGCAGCAAUCUGUGGAUUUCAUCUCUUUCGAGGCAGGGAGAAGAAGGGUCGAGCGCGCCAUGCUUGCAUCCAGCGCGGGUUUGGCCUAUUUCCUUAGAAACUUAUUUCGAUUCGAGGUAAGCUUCUCUCUUCUCAAUUCUUACUCCACAGUCUUACUUUGGAUGCUUCUUUCUGCUUCCUAUUGUCAUCUUCGGGGCGUGGCCACUGGUCGCAAAACAAUGAAUGUUUUCAUCUUUGCUGUAUUCGAAAAACAUUUGUUCUCUAGGCGAUCACAGCCUUGCUUCUUCACGUCAUUGCUGGUCUCAAGGCUCUUUCUUACGUCGUAGGUGUUUCCUCACACAGAUUUAGAUAUCUCACAAACGUUUGGAAUUCUUCGUCUAGUUGAUGCACGGAUUUCUCGGCGUUGCCAUGGGGUGCUUUGUGGAGUUCGCUCGCUCGCUCGCUAGAUUUCCAUUCUCUAACACGCUGCUGCUCAGAUGGAGAAUCAACUGGGGCGUCUCGAUCCUUGCUUGUACACUGGUAUGCACGAAACUCGCUCGAUGUUCUCACUGUCUAGAGUUGCAGGUCCGUGCUGUUGGAGCGAUUGACUUUGUGUUUCUGUCCUCUUGGCUGAUCAAGGAAAACACCCUCAACUUGGUUCAA
This 6083-nucleotide long non-coding RNA is filed under the name Selaginella moellendorffii. Its description in RNAcentral is "long non-coding RNA (SMOE_LNC000689)". The record is from RNAcentral. Lineage: Eukaryota; Viridiplantae; Streptophyta; Lycopodiopsida; Selaginellales; Selaginellaceae.